This 484-nucleotide ribosomal RNA is filed under the name uncultured bacterium. RNAcentral's name for it is "partial 16S ribosomal RNA". It matches the Rfam family "Bacterial small subunit ribosomal RNA", at positions 30 to 507 of the family's 1533-position model. The record is from RNAcentral.
AUUGAACGCUGGCGGCAGGCCUAACACAUGCCAGUCGAGCGGAUGAAGCCAGUUUUCUCCUGGAUUCAGCGGCGGACGGGUGAGUAAUGCCUAGGAAUCUGCCUGGUAGUGGGGGAUAACGUCCGGAAACGGGCGCUAAUACCGCAUCCGUUCUGUGGGAGAAAGUGGGGGAUCUUCGGACCUCACGCUAUCAGAUUAGCCCAGGUCGGAUUAGCUAGUUGGUGGGGUAAAGGCCUACCAAGGCGACGAUCCAUAGCUGGUCUGAGAGGAUGAUCAGUCACACUGGAACUGAGACACGGCCCAGACUCCUACGGGAGGCAGCAGUAGGGAAUAUUCGACAAUGGGCGAAAGCCUGAUGCAGCCAUGCCGCGUGUGUGAAGAAGGUCUUCGGAUUGUAAAGCUCUUUAAGUUGGGAGGAAGGGCAGUAAGUUUAUACCUUGCUGUUUUGACGUUACCAACAGAGUAAGCACCGGCUAACUUCGUG